This 476-nucleotide ribosomal RNA is filed under the name Gasteracantha cancriformis. RNAcentral describes it as "partial large subunit ribosomal RNA". It matches the Rfam family "Bacterial large subunit ribosomal RNA", at positions 1806 to 2619 of the family's 2925-position model. The record is from RNAcentral. Lineage: Eukaryota; Metazoa; Arthropoda; Arachnida; Araneae; Araneidae.
ACCAAAAACAUUUCUUAAUAUUUUAUUAUUAAGUAUAACCUGCUCAAUGGUCAAUUUAAUAGCCGCAGAAAUUUAACUGUGCUAAGGUAGCAUAAUCAUUAGCUCUUUAAUUAAGAGCUCGUAUGAAAGGUUAAACAUUAUAUAUACUAUAACCUUUUUUAAUAAAUCAAAAUUUAAUUAAGAAUCAAAAUGUUCUUAUUAUAUAAAUAGACGAUAAGACCCUAUUGAACUUUACUUUAGUUUAACUGGGGCAGUUAACUAAUAAUAAUCUUAAUUAACCUCUUUUUAUAAAAAUCCAAUCUAUUUGAAUUUGAAUAAGUUACCAUAGGGAUAACAGCGUAAUUUGUUUCUAAAGUUCUUAUUUAAAAACAAGAUUGCGACCUCGAUGUUGAAUUAGUGUCACUUUUUAAAUGCAACAAUUUUAAAAGUAGGUCUGUUCGACCUUUAAAACAUUACAUGAUCUGAGUUCAAACCGG